UUCCGGUUGAUCCCGCCGGAGGUCACUGCUAUCGGUGUCCGAUUAAGCCAUGCGAGUCGUGAGGGGUAAAGCCCUCGGCAUACUGCUCAGUAACACGUGGAUAAUCUACCCAAAGGUCUGGGAUAACCCCGGGAAACUGGGGAUAAUACCGGAUAGGCCAAUACGUCUGGAAUGUGUGUUGGCUGAAAGAGUGAUCGCCUUUGGAUGGGUCUGCGGCGGAUUAGGUAGACGCCUGUGCAACGUACCGGCGUGCCUGUAAUCCGUACGGGUUGUGGGAGCAAGAGCCCGGAGAUGGAUUCUGAGACACGAAUCCAGGCCCUACGGGGCGCAGCAGGCGCGAAAACUCUACAAUGCAGGCAACUGCGAUAGGGGGACAUCGAGUGGCACCCACCUUGGGUGUCUGUCCAACCGUCUAAAAAACGGUUGUUAGCAAGGGCCGGGUAAGACCGGUGCCAGCCGCCGCGGUAAUACCGGCGGCUCGAGUGGUGGCCGAUAUUAUUGAGUCUAAAGGGUCCGUAGCCGGCUUUGCAAGUCCUCUGGGAAAUCCAGCGGCUUAACCGUUGGGCUUCCAUGGGAAACUACAUUGCUUGGGACUGGGAGAGGUAGGAGGUACUCGAGGGGUAGGGGUGAAAUCCUGUAAUCCUUCGGGGACCACCGGUGGCGAAGGCGUCCUACCAGAACAGGUCCGACGGUGAGGGACGAAAGCUAGGGGCACGAACCGGAUUAGAUACCCGGGUAGUCCUAGCCGUAAACGAUGCCCGCUAGGUGUCACGGCGGUCGUGAAUCGCGUGGUGCCGUAGGGAAGCCGCGAAGCGGGCACUUGGGAAGUACGGCGCAAGGCUGAACUUAAGGAAUUGGCGGGGAGCACACAACGGGUGGAGC
RNAcentral lists this ribosomal RNA (882 nucleotides) under uncultured archaeon. RNAcentral's name for it is "bacterial SSU rRNA". It matches the Rfam family "Archaeal small subunit ribosomal RNA", at positions 1 to 894 of the family's 1478-position model. The record is from RNAcentral.